This 124-nucleotide ribosomal RNA is filed under the name uncultured bacterium. RNAcentral's name for it is "partial 16S ribosomal RNA". The record is from RNAcentral.
CUGCUGCCUUCCGUAGGAGUUUGGGCCGUGUCUCAGUCCCAAUGUGGCCGUCCACCCUCUCAGGCCGGCUACUGAUCGUCGCUUUGGUAGGCCGUUACCCUGCCAACUGGCUAAUCAGACGCGG